Molecule: ribosomal RNA, 460 nt
Filed under: uncultured bacterium
Lineage: Bacteria
Description: SSU rRNA
Rfam family: Bacterial small subunit ribosomal RNA
Source: RNAcentral
AGAAUCAACGCUGGCGGCGUGCCUAACACAUGCAAGUCGAACGAGAAAGUGGAGCAAUCCAUGAGUAAAGUGGCGACCGGGUGAGUAACACGUGACUAACCUACCUUCGAGUGGGGGAUAACAUCGGGAAACCGAUGCUAAUACCGCAUAACAUCGCAAGAUCAAAGCAGCAAUGCGCUGGAAGAGGGGGUCGCGGCUGAUUAGCUAGUUGGCGGGGUAACGGCCCACCAAGGCGAAGAUCGGUAGCCGGCCUGAGAGGGCGCACGGCCACACUGGAACUGAAACACGGUCCAGACUCCUACGGGAGGCAGCAGUGGGGAAUUUUGCGCAAUGGGGGAAACCCUGACGCAGCAACGCCGCGUGGAGGAUGAAGCCCCUUGGGGCGUAAACUCCUUUCGACCAAGACGAUAAUGACGGUACUGGUGGAAGAAGCACCGGCUAACUCUGCGCCAGCAGCCGC